This 479-nucleotide ribosomal RNA is filed under the name uncultured bacterium. RNAcentral's name for it is "bacterial SSU rRNA". It matches the Rfam family "Bacterial small subunit ribosomal RNA", at positions 1 to 468 of the family's 1533-position model. The record is from RNAcentral.
CGCCCUUAGAGUUUGAUCCUGGCUCAGGACGAACGCUGGCGGCGUGCCUAAUACAUGCAAGUCGAGCGGACCGGACGAGAGCUUGCUCUUGUUCGGUUAGCGGCGGACGGGUGAGUAACACGUGGGCAACCUACCCGUAAGACCGGGAUAACUCCGGGAAACCGGAGCUAAUACCGGAUAACACCGAAGACCGCAUGGUCUUCGGUUGAAAGGCGGCUUUGGCUGUCACUUACGGAUGGGCCCGCGGCGCAUUAGCUAGUUGGUGAGGUAACGGCUCACCAAGGCGACGAUGCGUAGCCGGCCUGAGAGGGUGACCGGCCACACUGGGACUGAGACACGGCCCAGACUCCCACGGGAGGCAGCAGUAGGGAAUCUUCCGCAAUGGACGAAAGUCUGACGGAGCGACGCCGCGUGAGCGAAGAAGGUCUUCGGAUCGUAAAGCUCUGUUGUUAGGGAAGAAGAAGUACCGUUCGAAUAGG